UUUUGGACAAUGGGCGCAAGCCUGAUCCAGCAAUGCCGCGUGCAGGAAGAAGGCCUUCGGGUUGUAAACUGCUUUUGUACGGAACGAAACGGUCCUGGUUAAUACCUGGGGCUAAUGACGGUACCGUAAGAAUAAGCACCGGCUAACUACGUGCCAGCAGCCGCGGUAAUACGUAGGGUGCAAGCGUUAAUCGGAAUUACUGGGCGUAAAGCGUGCGCAGGCGGUUUUGUAAGACAGGCGUGAAAUCCCCGGGCUUAACCUGGGAGUGGCGCUUGUGACUGCAAAGCUGGAGUGCGGCAGAGGGGGAUGGAAUUCCGCGUGUAGCAGUGAAAUGCGUAGAUAUGCGGAGGAACACCGAGGCGAAGGCAAUCCCCUGGGCCUGCACUGACGCUCAUGCACGAGG
RNAcentral lists this ribosomal RNA (403 nucleotides) under uncultured bacterium. RNAcentral's name for it is "bacterial SSU rRNA". It matches the Rfam family "Bacterial small subunit ribosomal RNA", at positions 362 to 758 of the family's 1533-position model. The record is from RNAcentral.